RNAcentral lists this ribosomal RNA (847 nucleotides) under uncultured Flavobacteriaceae bacterium. RNAcentral's name for it is "bacterial SSU rRNA". It matches the Rfam family "Bacterial small subunit ribosomal RNA", at positions 33 to 873 of the family's 1533-position model. Lineage: Bacteria; Pseudomonadati; Bacteroidota; Flavobacteriia; Flavobacteriales; Flavobacteriaceae. The record is from RNAcentral.
ACGCUAGCGGCAGCUUAACACAUGCAAGUCGAACGGUAACUCUUGGUGCUUGCACCAAAAGACGAGUGGCGGACGGGUGCGUAACGUGUAUGCAAUCUACCUUUUACUAGGGUAUAGCCCAGAGAAAUUUGGAUUAAUCCCCUAUAAUAUCAUGAAAUCGCAUGGUUUUAUGAUUAAAGCUUCGGCGGUAGAAGAUGAGCAUGCAUCCUAUUAGUUUGUAGGUGAGGUAACGGCUCACCUAGACUACGAUAGGUAGGGGCCCUGAGAGGGGGAUCCCCCACACUGGUACUGAGACACGGACCAGACUCCUACGGGAGGCAGCAGUGAGGAAUAUUGGACAAUGGACGAAAGUCUGAUCCAGCUAUGCCGCGUGCAGGAUGACAGCCCUACGGGUUGUAAACUGCUUUUAUACAGGAAGAACAACCCCGACGUGUCGGGGCUUGACGGUACUGUAAGAAUAAGGAUCGGCUAACUCCGUGCCAGCAGCCGCGGUAAUACGGAGGAUCCAAGCGUUAUCCGGAAUUAUUGGGUUUAAAGGGUCCGCAGGCGGUUUUUUAAGUCAGAGGUGAAAUCCUACAGCUCAACUGUAGAAUUGCCUUUGAAACUGAAAGACUUGAGUUAUUGUGAAGUGGUUAGAAUGUGUGGUGUAGCGGUGAAAUGCAUAGAUAUCACACAGAAUACCAAUUGCGAAGGCAGAUCACUAACAAUUAACUGACGCUCAGGGACGAAAGCGUGGGUAGCGAACAGGAUUAGAUACCCUGGUAGUCCACGCCGUAAACGAUGGAUACUAGCUGUAUGUCUACUUCAGGUAGAUGUGUGGCUAAGCGAAAGUGAUAAGUAUCCCACC